AUUGUAAUCUCUCUAUCUACAUCUGGGACAAGAUCACAACUUGAUACAUCGGUGCUCUUCUGUGUCGACCCAUCGAUCGAUGUUGAGGUCUUGUCAUCGGUCGACAUUAAGGUCUUACUGUCGAUCGAUGUUGAGGUGCUGGUGUCAUUUGAUGUUGAGGUCGGAUAACUUGUCUCAUCUUCUUCUCUUUUGCUCGACUCUCCAAAUCCAUGUUGUUCAUCCCUUUUUGCCAUAAUUUUGUCGAGCAGUUGUAUUGGAAUCAUAUACUCCUCAUCUAACAAUGCCAAGAACAUGUCCCAUUUAUCAUUUUUCUCCUUUUCUCGAGUUGCUUUAGCAUCAUCAAGAAAUUUGUAAAAUAAGGUUCUUUCAAUGUCAUACCAGCUGGUUAGAGAUCUUGGUUGUAGUUGACUGAACCAGCUAAAUGCAUCCCCAAAGAUAGACUAGGGAAGAUCUUACAGAGCAUGUGGUAUUCAGACACUUCAUUCUGCUCACUCCUUGACACGAGAUCCUCCAGCUCUUCGAUGUGGUUUCUGGGAUCUUGGUGAGGAAGACCCUGGAAGGGGUCUUGACCUACCCAAUCAUACCACUCUCGGCUAAAGUCAAAGUCAUUCAUCUCAGCAACAACAAUCACAUUAGGGAUCACAGCACCCUGAGCAUUAAUCAAUUGUCAUGCGAUGUUGCGGGUGCGACCUUUUUCGUCUCU
RNAcentral lists this long non-coding RNA (703 nucleotides) under Brassica napus (rape). Its description in RNAcentral is "long non-coding RNA (BNAP_LNC027194)". Lineage: Eukaryota; Viridiplantae; Streptophyta; Magnoliopsida; Brassicales; Brassicaceae. The record is from RNAcentral.